CGGACUCGAGAUCAGCCCUCCCAAGAGAGAUUAGGGCUUGGCGGCGGCUCCGUAUCGUAAAACGCGAUGAAUCCUUCUCUCUGAUCUUUUUCUCCCUGAAUGUGAAUAUAUAGAGUUGGAGUUGAGGUCGGUGGAGCCUCAGGGGGCCCACGAGGCAGGGGGCACGCCCCAGGGGGGGUGGGCGCACCCUCCACCCUCGUGGACAGGGUGUGGGCCCCCUGUGUUGAUUCUUUUGCCAGUAUUUUUUAUAUAUUCCAAAAAUAUUCUCCGAGAAGUUUCAGGUCAUUCCGAGAACUUUUAUUUCUGCACUAAAAUAACACAAUGGCAAUUCUGCUGAAAACAGCGUCAGUCCGGGUUAAUUCCAUUCAAAUCAUGCAAGUUAGAGUCCAAAACAAGGGCAAAAGUGUUUGGAAAAGUAGAUACGAUGGAGAUGUGUCAACUCCCCCAAGCUUAAACCUUUGCUUGUCCUCAAGCAAUUCAGUUGACAAACUGAAAGUGAUUAAGAAAAACUUUUACAAACUCUUUUUGCUCUUGUUUUUGUAAAUAUGUAAAGCCAACAGUCAAGUUUUCAGCAAAGAUUAUGAACUAACCAUAUGCAUAAUAACACUUGGGUCUCAUGUUUACUCAUAUCAAUGGCAUAAUCAACUAGCGAGUAAUAAUAAUAAAUCUCAGAUGACAACACUUUCUCAAAACAAUCACAAUAUGAUAUAAGAAGAUGGUAUCUUGCUAGCCCUUUCUGAGACCGCAAAACAUAAAUGCAUAGCACCUCUGAAGAUCAAGGACUAACUAGACAUUGUAAUUCAUGGUAAAAGAGAUCUAGUCAUAGUCAUACUCAAUGUAAAUUACUAGUAAUGCAUGCAAAUGAGAGUGGUGCUCUCCAACUGGUGCUUUUUAAUAAGGGGAUGAUGACUCAACAUAAAAGUAAAUAGAUAUGGCCUUCGCAGAGGGAAGUAGGGAUUUGCAGAGGUGCCAGAGCUCGAGUUUUGAAACAGACAUAAAUAACAUUUUGAGUGGCAUACUUUCAUUGUCAACAUAACAACCAAGAGAUCUCGAUAUCUUCCAUGAUACGCACAUUAUAGGCGGUUCCCAAACAGAAUGGUAAAGUUUAUACUCCCCCUCCACCAACAAGCAUCAAUCCAUGGCUUGCCCGAAACAACGGGUGCCUCCAACUAACAACAGUCUUGGCGAAGUUUUGUUUGCAAUUAUUUUGAUUUGAGCAUGGGACUGGGCAUCCCGGUGACCAACCAUUUUCUCAUGAGUGAGGAGCGGAGUCCACACCUCUUGAGAAUAACCUGCCUAGCAUGGAAGAUACAGACAUCCCUAGUUGAUACAUGAGCUAUUCGAGCAUACAAAACAGAAUUUCAUUUCAAGGUUUAGAGUUUGGCACAUACGAAUUUACUUGGAACGGUAGGUAGAUACCGCAUAGGAAGGUAUGGUGGACUCAUAUGGAAUAACUUUGGGGUUUAUGGAAGUGGAUGCACAAGCAGUAUUCUCGCUUAGUACAAGUGAAGGCUAGAAAGAUACUGGGAAGCGACCAACUAGAGAGCGACAAUAGUCAUGAACAUGCAUUAAAAUUAAACAACAUUGCAUGCAAGCAUGAGUAGGAUAUAAUUCACCAUGAACAUAAAUAUCGUGGAGGCUAUGUUGAUUUUGUUUCAACUACAUGCGUGAACAUGUGCCAAGUCAGACCACUCAAAUCGUUCAAAGGAGGAUACCACCCUAUCAUACGACAUCACAACCAUUUUAAUAGCAUGUUGGCACGCAAGGUAAACCAUUAUAAACUCCUAGCUAAUUAAGCAUGGCAUGAGCAACUAUAAUCCCUAAUUGUCAUUGCAAACAUGUUUCAUUCAUAAUAGGCUGAAUCAGGAACGAUGAACUAAUCAUAUUUACAAAAACAAGAUAGGUCGAGUUCAUACCAGCUUCUCUCAUCUCAAUCAGUCCAUCAUAUAUCGUAAUUAUUGCCUUUCACUCGCACGACCGAACGGUGUGGAUAAUAAUAAUAGUGCACGUGCAUUGGACUAAGCUGGAAUCUACAAGAAUUUAAUACAAAGGAGAAGAUAAGGUAAUAUGGGUUCUUGGUUAAAUCAACAAUAAUGCAUAUGAGAUCCACUCAACAUUUUCAUCAUGGUCUUCUCCUCUCGACCCCCAAAGAAAACAAAUAAAAUAAAACUAUUUACAUGGGAAAGCUCCCAACAAGCAAAAGAAGAAUGAGAAAUCUUUUUGGGUUUUCUUUUAAUUACUACUACUACAUGCUUGAAAAGUAAAUUAGCUAAAAGCUACAACUAAUUUUACUUUGUUUUUUCUUAAGGUUUUUCAAACAAACAAGAAGAAGCUUAGAAAAGAAAAUAAACUAACAUGGAUAGUACAAUGAAAAAGUAUGAGCACCGACAACUAGAAUGAGUGUGUGAACAUGAAUGUAAUGUCGGUGAGAAAUAUGUACUCCCCCAAGCUUAGGAUUCUGACCUAAGUUGGUCUAUGCCCACGGAUCAAAAUGGUCCUCUCCAGUGUACUAAGGAGGAUCCUCGGGGUGCCAUUGGUUAGCGAUCUCCUCCGGAUCCCACCGGUAGACAGACUGCCGAUAAGGGUCAAGUGGUGGCUCCGGCUCAGCCUCUGGAGCUGGUGUCACGCUCAAGUAUGCAUGAACGGCCUCCGGCAAAAUGAGGUACGUGCCUGAAAAUAUGUUAAUCAAAGGCGCAGGCAAGGUAAUAAUCUCACAGUAAUUUUUAUCAAAAAUCAAAUUAUACUUAAGUAGUUUCUUCUUAUUUCUAACAAUAAAAUCAUGUGCUACCAUACUCUUAUAAUCUAGAAAAACAGGAGGCAACAACUUUUGUUCUUUCUCAUAAUGCCUAAUAGGUAUAUUAAAGUGCGCUGCAAGGCGCGAAGCAAAGAUGCCUCCAAAGAUGGGGCCCUUUGUACGGUUCAGACAAUCGUUUAGCAAUAAUAGCGCCUAAACUGAAAGUUGUAUCACGAAACAAAGCAUGGCGCAAAAUAACAAUAUCGGGAGCACUAAGAUUUCCACUAUUCCCGCGGCCAAUGAAGCAUCUACUAGCAAAUAUUGCAAAGUAACAUAGAACAGGAAAAUGUAUGCUAGUAAUUCUUGCAUCUGAAACUUUCCUCAUUUCCCCUACAACAAUUUGAUCAAUAAAUCCCUCCACAUCAUUACGGUGUGGUUCUUCUAUGCAUCCCUCAAAGGGUAUCUUGCAUACCUGACAAAAAUCAUAUAGGGACAUCUCCUUAACCUCGUCAUAUAAAUGAAACUCCACUGAAGGUGGUGAUUUCUUAGCAUGAAAGUAAAAAUUUUGCACAAAAAUAUUAGUGAGUAGGAGAUACUGUUCGCACUGGUCGUGGAGGAAGUCGGUGAGGCUUGCAUUCUCAGCCAAGUGAUAAAAAUCAUCAUAAAUUCUAGCGGCUCUCAAGAACUCAUCACAAGGCCAUUCAGGAAGAUUAUAUUUGGGCUUCUUAUUCUCCUCACCUUGCUUAUCCUUUGAGCUUCGGCUCGAAGAGCCCCUCAACAAUCUCCUCAUCAUUUUCUUUCUCUGAAAAUUUUCUGAAAUUUUUAGUAACUCAAAAUAAAAGUGAACUAAACUCAACAAGAUUGAUAGCAACUACUCCCACAAGUGCCUAGAGGCUAUAUCAUGCAUUAAAAACUACUUUGAACCAAAUAAAUUUGGCAUGCAAGCUCAAGAACAGGGUCACCUAAGAAGCAAAAAUUUGCAAUAAAUAAAGGACUAGAACAAAAACUAAUUGGACCAUUGGAGGAGUCACAUACCGAAGAACAAUCCCCGAAAGCAGUUUUGUGAGUGGAGCUUUGAGCAAGGAGAUCGAAAAUCACAGCAAGAAGAGCUAGAACAUGGGUUUGAGCUAUGUGGGAAUUUUUUCUGGAGGAAGAAGAAGUGUGUGGGUGCAGGAAUAAGUGGAGGGGGGCCACAUGGGGUGCACGAGGUAGGGGGGCGCCCCCCAGGGGGGUGGGUGCGCCCUAGACCCUCGUGGCCAGGUGGUUGCCCCCUCUGGUGUGUUCUCAGUGCCAGAUAUUCUUAAAUGUUCUACAAAAAAUCAUAUUUCAUUUUCAAGACAUUUGGAGAACUUUUAUUUUGGGGGUAUUUUUUAUUGCAAGGAUAAUUCAGAAAACAGAUAGAAAAUACUAUUUUUGCUUUAUUUAAUCUAAAUAACAGAAAGUAAAAGGAGGGUACAAAGAGUUGUAAUUUAUAAAUUCAUCGAUCUCAUGCUCAUCAAAAGGAAUCCACUAACAAGGUUGAUCAAGUCUUGUUAACAAACUCUUCGAAUCGCAUGAAACCGGAUAAUUUUCGAAUAGCACUAAGUUACCUCAACGGGGAUAAGCAUGUCCCCAACAAUAAGAAUAUCAUAUUUCUUUUUGACAGUAGGAAGAGGGAAUUCAAAACCUCCAAUAUUAAUCAUUGGAAUUUUUCCAAUAGAAUUGAUACUGUGGACUUGAGGUUGUUUCCUCGGAAAGUGUACCGUAUGCUCAUUACCAUUAACAUGAAAAGUGACAUUGCCUUUGUUGCAAUCAAUAACAGCCCUUGCAAUAUUCAAAAAGGGUCUACCAAGAAUAAUAGACAUACUAUCGUCCUCAGGAAUAUCAAGAAUCAAUGUUGAGGAUAUCGCUUAUCGUUUUCGUCUCGGUCAGCUAGGGAUUAGAGAUUAAUCGGAAAUCGGCCGAUUAAUCGAUUUUAUCGGUCGACUAUUAAUCGGAUAUUUUUUUGCAAAUCUCAGGUUCCCAACACUAAAAUACGCUAUAUUCAACACUAAAACAAUAUCUGACAUAAGUGUUACCCUGAUUUCUAGCCUUUGAAUCCUCGUAAAAUGACAAACAAAAUAGGGCAAUAGUACAUAUUCCGUAACAAGGUCCACAAAACAUAAAUAAACAUAGUUUUUGCCAACAUAGUGCAAUGAAUAGGUCUAAUUUAUCGGUAGAUUCCCAAUAAAUCGCUUGUCAGAAUGAUAAAUUGGUCCAAAACAUAAACGGCAAAGAUAAGGCAUAAUCUUAUCGGUCACCCCCGAUUAGCGAUAAAUCGGAAGAUUAAUUGGUGAAUCGGAAGAUUUCUUGAACAGUGUCAAGAAUAACAAAGUCCGUUAAAAUAGUAACGUUUGCAACCACAACAGGCACAUCCUCACAAAUACCGACAGGUUUAGCAGUUGAUUUAUCGGCCAUUUGCAAAUAUAUUUCAGUAAGUGUCAACUUAUUCAAAUCAAGUCUAAGAUAUAAAGAGAGAGGCAUAACACUAACAUCGGCUACAAGAUCACAUAAAGCAGUUUUAACAUAGUUUCUUUUAAUAGAGCAUGGUAUAGUUGGUACUCCUGGAUCUCCUAGUUUCUUUGGUAUUCCACCUUUAAAAGUAUAAUUGGCAAGCAUGGUAGAAAUUUCAGCUUCAGGUAUAUUUCUUUUAUUUGUAACAAUAUCUUUCAUAUACUUAGCAUAAGGAUUCAUUUUAAGCAUAUCAGUCAAACGCAUACGCAAAAAGAUAGGUCUAAUCAUUUCAGCAAAGCACUCAAAAUCCUCAUCAUCUUUUUUCUUGGAUGGUUUAGGAGGAAAAGGCAUGGGUUUCUGAACCCAUGGUUGUCUUUCUUUACAAUGCUUCCUAGCAACGAAGUCUCUCUUCUCAUAACGUUGAUUCUUUGAUUGUGGGUUAUCAAUGUCAACAGCAGGUUCAAUCUCUACAUCAUUGUCAUUGCUUGAUUGAGCAUCAACAUGAACAUCAUCAUUAAUAUUAUCACUAAGUUCAUGUUCAUUACCAGAUUGUGUUUCAGCAUUAGAAAUAGAAAUAUCAUUGGGAUUCUCAAGUGUGUCAACAACAGGUUCACUAGAAUCAUGCAAAGUCCUAUCAUUUAUCUUUUUCUUGUUGUUAGAAGGACUAGGUACACCAACAUUAGUUCUCUAAGAAUCUUGCUCAAUUCUCUUAGGGUGGCCCUCAGGAUACAAAGGUUCCUGAGUCAUUUUACCCCCUCUAGUCAUAACUCUAACAACAUUAUCAUUUUUCUUAUUAUUUAAUUCAUUGAGCAAAUCAUUUUGAGCUUUAAGCACUUGUUCUACUUGAGUGGUAAACAUAGAAGCAUGUUUACUAAUAAGUUUAAGUUCACCUUUAACUCUAGACAUAUAGUCACUCAAGUUUUCAAUCAUAUAAGCAUUACGUUUCAAUUGUUUACCAACAUAAGCACUAAAGUUUUCUUGUUUAACAAUAAAAUUAUCAAACUCAUCCAAGCAUUGACUAGCAAACUUAGUAGAUGGGAUUUCACACUUAUCAAAUCUAUAUAGAAUUUACCUCCACUACCUGUGUCGGUUUAUCAAGACCAUGUAUUUCUUCAAUAGGGGGUAAAUUCUUAACAUCUUCAGCUUUAAUACCUUUUUCUUUCAUAAAUUUAUUUGCCUCUUGCAUAUCUUUAGGACUGAGAAAUAGAAUACCCCUUUUCUUCAGAGUUGGCUUAGGAGUUGGUUCAGGAAGUGUCCAAUUAUUCUCAUUACUAAACAUAUUAUUCAACAGCAAUUCAGCUUGAUCAACUGUUGUUUCCCUGAAAACACAACCAGCACAACUAUCCAGGUGGUCUCUGGAAGCAUCGGUUAGUCCAUUAUAAAAGAUAUCAAGUAUUUCAUUUUUCUUGAGAGGAUGAUCAGGCAAAGCAUUAAGUAAUCGGAGAAGCCUCCCCCAAGCUUGUGGGAGACUCUCUUCUUCAAUUUGCACAAAAUUAUAUAUUUCCCUUAAGGAAGCUUAUUUCUUAUGAGCGGGAAAAUAUUUAGCAGAGAAGUAAUAAAUCAUAUCCUGGGGACUACGCACACAACCAGGAUCAAGAGAAUUAAACCAUGUUUUAGCAUCACCCUUUAAUGAGAACGGAAAUAGCUUAAGGAUAUAGCAGUAACGAUUUUUUUCCUCAUGAGUGAAUAGGGUGGCUAUAUCAUUCAAUUUAGUAAGAUGUGCCACAAUAGUUUCAGAUUCAUAGCCAUAAAAAGGAUCAGAUUCAACCAAAGUAAUUAACUCAGGAUCGACAGAGAAAUCAUAAUCCUUAUUAGAAAUACAGAUAGGUGAAGUAGCAAAACAGGGUCAUAUUUCAUUCUAGCAUUCAAAGACUUUUCUUUCAGCUUAACCAACAGUUUCUUAAGAUCAUAUCUAUCUUUGCAAGCAAAAAUAUCUCUAGCAGUUUCUUCAUCCAUAACAUAAACCUCAGGUACAUCAGGCAAUUCAUAUCUAGGGGGAGAAUCUUCAUCAUAACUUUCAUCAAUAUUAUCAGUUUCAAUAAUUUCAUUCUCUCUAACCCUAGCAAGGUGUUCAUCAAGAAAUUCACCUAAUGGCACAUUAUUAUCAAGCAUAUAAGUAGUUUCAUCAUAAGUAUCAUGCAAAGCAGAAGUGGCAUCAUCAAUAACAUGCGACAUAGCACAAUCAAUAGCAGGAGUAGGUGUCGCAAGUUUACUCAUAACAGAAGGUGAAUCAAGUGCAGAGCUAGAUGGCAGAUUUUUACCUCCCCUUGUAGUUGAGGGAUAAAUCUUGUUUUUUCAUCUUUCAACUUCCUCAUAAUGAUCAGCAGAUAGAAAUCCCAAAUGACUCAAAUAAUAGAGCUAUGCUCCCCAGCAACAGCGCCAGAAAGUAGUCUUGAUAACCCAUAAGUAUAGGGGAUCGCAACAGUUUUCGAGGGUAGAGUAUUCAACCCAAAUUUAUUGAUUCUACACAAGGGUAGCCAAAGAAUAUUCUCAAGUAUUAGCAGCUGAGUUGUCAAUUUAACCACACCUGGAAGACUUAAUAUCUGCAGCAAAGUAUUUAGUAGCAAAGUAGUAUGGAAGUAACGGUACCAGUGGCAAAUGUAAUAAUAGCAGUUUUGUAGUAAUUGUAACAGUGGCAACAGAAAAGUAACUAAGCAAGAUCAAUAUGUGAAAAUCUCAUAGGCAAUGGAUCAAUGAUGGAUAAUUAUGUCGGAUGUGAUUCCUCGUGCAACAGUUAUAACAUAGGGUGACACAGAACUAGCUCCAAUUCAUCGAUAUAAUGUAGGCAUGUAUUCCGAGUAUAGUCAUACGUGCUUCUGGAAAAGAACUUGCAUGACAUAUUUUGUCCUACCGUCCCAUGGCAGCGGGGUCCUAGUGGAAACUAAGGGAUAUUAAGGCCUCCUUUUAAUAGAGUACCGGACCAAAGCAUUAACACUUAGUGAAUACAUGAACUCCUCAAACUACGGUCAUCACCGGGAGUGGUCUCGAUUAUUGUCACUUCGGGGUUACCGGAUCAUAACACAUAGUAGGUGACUAUUGACUUGCAAGAUAGGAUCAAGAACUCACAUAUAUUCAUGAAAACAUAAUAGGUUCAAAUCUGAAUUCAUGGCAUUUGGUCCCUAGUGACAAGCAUUAAGUGCAAAGUCAUAGCAACAUCAAUCUCAGAACGUAGUGGAUACUAGGGAUCAAACCCUAACAAAACGAACUCGAUUACAUGAUAAAUCUCAUCCAACCCAUCACCGUCCAGCGAGCCUACGAUGGAAUUACUCACGCACGGCGGUGAGCAUCAUGAAAUUGGUGAUGGAGGAUGGUUGAUGAUGACGACGGCGACGGAUUCCCCUCUCCGGAGCCCCGAACAGACUCCAGAUCAGCCCUCCCGAGAGAGAUUAGGGCUUGGCGGCGGCUCCGUAUGAUAAAUCCUUCUAUUUGAUUUUUUUCUCCCCAAACGUGAAUAUAUACAGUUGGAGCUAAGGUCGAUGGAUACUCAGGGGGCCCACGAGGCAGGGGGCACGCCCUAGGGGGGAGGUCGCACCCUCCACCAUUGUGGACAGGUUGUGGGCCCCCUGGUGUUGAUUCUUUCGCUAGUAUUUUUUUAUAUAUUCCAAAAAUAUUCUCCGUGAAGUUUCAGGUCAUUUCGAGAACUUUUAUUUCUGCACAAAAAUAACACCAUGGCAAUUCUGCUGAAAAC
Molecule: long non-coding RNA, 8894 nt
Filed under: Triticum aestivum (bread wheat)
Lineage: Eukaryota; Viridiplantae; Streptophyta; Magnoliopsida; Poales; Poaceae
Description: long non-coding RNA (TAES_LNC012084)
Source: RNAcentral